This 1631-nucleotide ribosomal RNA is filed under the name uncultured fungus. RNAcentral's name for it is "eukaryotic LSU rRNA". The stretch from base 885 to 1631 matches the Rfam family "Eukaryotic large subunit ribosomal RNA", at positions 1 to 667 of the family's 3401-position model. The record is from RNAcentral. Lineage: Eukaryota; Fungi.
CUUGGUCAUUUAGAGGAAGUAAAAGUCGUAACAAGGUUUCCGUAUGUGAACCUGCGGAAGGAUCAUUAACACGUUCCAAAACCAAUCAAACCAACCUGCGAACCCGUGAGAGCUUUUUUUAUAGGUUUGUUCAUUCUAACCUAUGAUUGAUGCCGAUCUCUAACUUUAUGGCAUUGGCGUAUCUGCUCUAGUAGUGGUGCGUCCUAAUCCAUGUAGUUUGAUCACUCUUUUUUAAACGCCCUUCAUCAGCUACUGCUUGUCAGCCAGUUGACGAAUCAUAUCAUUUCAACUUCUACCAAUGCAGGUUGUGUCGAUCUAGCUGGUUUUUUAUCAGCCCGACUACUGCUUGGUUGUAUCUAUAUAUAAAAUCUAAGAGCAACUCUUAGCAAUGGAUAUCUUGGUUCUCGCACCGAUGAAGAACGCAGCGAAGUGCGAUAUGUAAUGCGAAUUGCAGAAUUCAGUGAAUCAUCAAAUCUUUGAACGCAAAUUGCGCUCUUGGGAUAGACCUAGGAGCACACCUCCAGGAGUGUCGGUAACUCACAUCGGCUUCUUCUUUCUUUCAUACAGACAGAGAGAACUAGGCGGAGAAUGAGUGUCUAAGCUUUUAUGAAAAGCUCAGUCACUUGAAAAGCAGUGCGAACAACGACUCCCGAUUGCUUCGUGUGUAUUUGCUACUAAGUAGUAGUAUACGCAAAGCAGACUAGUCGAUUCCCAGCGACGUGGAUGAGCUCUCUCUUGUAGGACUUCAACGUUGUCUUGGUGAUAUGGGUUAGUUGGGUAUCUAGCGUUUGUUUGUCUGUAGAGCCUUAGUGUGUCUUUCAUAGAAGACUACUAUCUGGCUUUACUGGAGUCGUAUUUUAUAAUACAAGCUCGCUCUUGAAUUUAGACCUCCUGUGAAGUGGGAUUACCCCCUGAAUUUAAGCAUAUUAAUAAGGGGAGGACAAGACAAUAACAAUGAUGCUCUCAGUAACGGCGAGUGAAGCGAGCAGAGCUCAAGUUGAGAAUCGGUCAUCCUUGCGGGUGAAUCGAAUUGUAGAGUUUCGACGUGUAGUCAGCGUGUGACCUGGAUGUAAGUCUCUUGAAACAGGGCAUCAGUGAGGGUGAGAAUCCCGUCUGUCAUACAGAGUUCGCCGCGUACGACACAUGUUCAUCGAGUCGAGUUGUUUGGGAUUGCAGCUCUAAUUGGGUGGUAAGUUUCAUCUAAAGCUAAAUAUAGGCGAGAGACCGAUAGCGAACAAGUACCGUGAGGGAAAGAUGAAAAGAACUUUGAAAAGAGAGUUAAAUAGUACUUGAAAUUGUUAAGAGGGAAGCGCUAGAAACUAGUCGUGUCGAGAGGAAACACGCUCAUUGCUUGGUCGCAUAUUAUGGCUAGUCAUUGUGCAAACUUGGCACACCGUAGCAUUGGGAUUGAGUAGUGGGUUUCCGUCCUCUCGAUGGGGUCAGCAUGGUUUCUAUUCGAGUGAAAAAGCUGGAUGGAAGGUGACGUUCAGUUCGCUGAACGUGUUAUAGCCAUUUAGUGCUAAUUCGUAUGGGAAUGAGGAGGUUCGAAUGCGCCACUAGGCAAGGUUUUACCUAGCAUUCGAUCGAUGCUGACGAAAUGGUUUCUAUCGACCCGUCUUGAAACACGGACC